ACGGGUAGCCGGCCUGAGAGGGCGACCGGCCACACUGGGACUGAGACACGGCCCAGACUCCUACGGGAGGCAGCAGUGGGGAAUAUUGCACAAUGGGCGGAAGCCUGAUGCAGCGACGCCGCGUGAGGGAUGACGGCCUUCGGGUUGUAAACCUCUUUCAGCAGGGACGAAGCGUAAGUGACGGUACCUGCAGAAGAAGCGCCGGCCAACUACGUGCCAGCAGCCGCGGUAAGACGUAGGGCGCGAGCGUUGUCCGGAUUUAUUGGGCGUAAAGAGCUCGUAGGCGGCUUGUCGCGUCGACCGUGAAAACCUGGGGCUCAACCCCAGGCCUGCGGUCGAUACGGGCAGGCUAGAGUUCGGUAGGGGAGACUGGAAUUCCUGGUGUAGCGGUGAAAUGCGCAGAUAUCAGGAGGAACACCGGUGGCGAAGGCGGGUCUCUGGGCCGAUACUGACGCUGAGGAGCGAAAGCGUGGGGAGCGAACAGGAUUAGAUACCCUGGUAGUCCACGCUGUAAACGUUGGGCGCUAGGUGUGGGGGGCCUCUCCGGUUUCCUGUGCCGCAGCUAACGCAUUAAGCGCCCCGCCUGGGGAGUACGG
RNAcentral lists this ribosomal RNA (596 nucleotides) under Micromonospora sp. MP38-E3. RNAcentral's name for it is "bacterial SSU rRNA". It matches the Rfam family "Bacterial small subunit ribosomal RNA", at positions 279 to 885 of the family's 1533-position model. The record is from RNAcentral. Lineage: Bacteria; Bacillati; Actinomycetota; Actinomycetes; Micromonosporales; Micromonosporaceae.